CCUACGGGAGGCAGCAGUGAGGAAUAUUGGUCAAUGGGCGCGAGCCUGAACCAGCCAAGUCGCGUGAGGGAUGACGGUCCUACGGAUUGUAAACCUCUUUUGCCGGGGAGCAAGCGUGCGUUCGUGAACGCGCGUCGAGAGUACCCGGAGAAAAAGCAUCGGCUAACUCCGUGCCAGCAGCCGCGGUAAUACGGAGGAUGCGAGCGUUAUCCGGAUUUAUUGGGUUUAAAGGGUGCGCAGGCGGGCCUUUAAGCCGGCGGGGAAAUCGCGGGGCUCAACCCCGCCGAGCCGUCGGAACUGGGGGCCUUGAGUGCGGCGGAGGCAUGCGGAAUGCGCGGUGUAGCGGUGAAAUGCAUAGAUAUCGCGCAGAACUCCGAUAGCGAAGGCAGCUUACCAGACUGCGACUGACGCUGAAGCACGAGAGCGUGGGUAGCGAACAGGAUUAGAUACCCUUGUAGU
This 459-nucleotide ribosomal RNA is filed under the name uncultured bacterium. Its description in RNAcentral is "partial 16S ribosomal RNA". It matches the Rfam family "Bacterial small subunit ribosomal RNA", at positions 338 to 794 of the family's 1533-position model. The record is from RNAcentral.